GAGUUUGAUCUUGGCUCAGAACGAACGCUGGCGGCGUGGAUAAGACAUGCAAGUCGAACGGGAGAAUUGCUAGCUUGCUAAUAAUUCUCUAGCGGCGCACGGGUGAGUAACACGUGAGUAACCUGCCCCCGAGAGCGGGAUAGCCCUGGGAAACUGGGAUUAAUACCGCAUAGUAUCGAAAGAUUAAAGCAGCAAUGCGCUUGGGGAUGGGCUCGCGGCCUAUUAGUUAGUUGGUGAGGUAACGGCUCACCAAGGCGAUGACGGGUAGCCGGUCUGAGAGGAUGUCCGGCCACACUGGAACUGAGACACGGUCCAGACACCUACGGGUGGCAGCAGUCGAGAAUCAUUCACAAUGGGGGAAACCCUGAUGGUGCGACGCCGCGUGGGGGAAUGAAGGUCUUCGGAUUGUAGACCCCUGUCAUGUGGGAGCAAAUUAAAAAGAUAGUACCACAAGAGGAAGAGACGGCUAACUCUGUGCCAGCCGCCGCCGUAAG
Molecule: ribosomal RNA, 494 nt
Filed under: uncultured microorganism
Description: bacterial SSU rRNA
Rfam family: Bacterial small subunit ribosomal RNA
Source: RNAcentral